CCUGGUGGCUCAGACGGUAAAGCAUCUGCCUGCAAUGUGGGAGACCCGGGUUCGAUCCCUGGGCCAGGA
Molecule: transfer RNA, 69 nt
Filed under: Bos taurus (domestic cattle)
Lineage: Eukaryota; Metazoa; Chordata; Mammalia; Artiodactyla; Bovidae
Also listed under: 1 other name
Rfam family: tRNA
About the family: Transfer RNA (tRNA) molecules are approximately 80 nucleotides in length. Their secondary structure includes four short double-helical elements and three loops (D, anti-codon, and T loops).
Source: Rfam by way of RNAcentral